AGUCACGUCAAACAGUGCAGACAGAAAAACAACAGUAGCUGCAAUUGUUUAAGCUGUUUUCUAGUGACAUUUAUUUGGAUUCAUCCAUAACAAUGAGCUAAUGUUAUGUGAGGCGCGAUUUCGUCAAGAAACUUGUUCAGAGGAGCUAGCCAACACAAUCACUUCACAUUUUAACUGGAAAGACUGCAAACUACAGUAGCUGCACUUUAUUUCGUUUUAACUUUUUUCAAUUGCCAUUUUUUUUGUGAUGCCAGCUGAUUCAUGAUUUCGACUGGCUGAGAAACGCUGCCUGCCUGUCAAUCUCGUCCCGACUCGUUCAUUACUAUGGGACAGCUGUAGAUCGAAUUUGAAUAUUGAAACGAUAUUGCAAAUAUCGGAGAGACAGACAGCAAGGUUAAUACAAAUCUCUGCUGUUGGAAACUAAAUGUUAUUCUAAAAAAAAUGUGAGAUAAUGUCUAGAUGCUUUUUAUAGUGGAGAUCAAGUUUAUAAUUUGCCUGGCUGGGUUGAUGAGACAGUGGAUUGCGCAGUCAAAUGGAACAGAGUAAAUAGCCAUAUUAACGUCAUAGAUUUAGCUCUUGGUAGCUUGUGGAAUAGACACCGGCUGGGAUGCGCUUUUAACCAGCAUUCAGGGUACAGGAUUAGACCCACCCGUUGUAUAAAACAGACCAACAGACCAACACAUCUUCACACGAAUGUCCACGGUGGGUCUCUGUAAAUUAUGCGAUUAUAUUGGAGACAGUUUAAUAGCGGUGACUGUCAUCAAUUCAUUUACUCUUAUAGUAUUUCUAAGUAGAAUCCAUAUCAGCCAGGGAAACUUUGUGAUAGAACAUUCAGAUUUGUCUGCCUGACUGUGGGACUCUAUACCUGAAUUAUUAGGAUUUUUUUGUGAUCACAACAAAACUAGGUAUUUUGAUCAAAUAUAGAUAUAAUAAAUGUUUAUCUUUCAAAAUAUGGGCCUGGCUGAGAAUAUAACAUUAAGUUUUCUGCCUGAGUGUGGCGCUGUUUACCACAUUUUUUAAAUCAUUUUGUGACUGUAACAAAGCUACUUUUACUCAACUAGAGAUGAAAAUAAAUAGUGUUUCUUUAAAAAGAUGGGCCUGGCUAACAUGGACUGUUUCCUCACCUUAUUCUCCUUGUGGUUAUCCAUGGUUGUUGGUUAUUUGCCAGGACCUGAGGCUCUUGGACUGCGACUGAGGACACCCCAGCCUGACACCUGAAUGUGCCUGGCCCAAUCCCACCUUGCCCUCCUCUACCAGCCUGUGGCUACCUCCACUGAUUCUUUCUCCCCCUCAAGUCACUAACCUACUCCCCACACACCUAGAAACUUGUAUUUCAUUACUUACCAUAUGACUUUAUGAAAGGCCAUCGGUUCAUGGAGUCUUAAAGUUAAAUCAAAUACAGAUUCGUGCAAACUGGAAGUGUGACUUCUUUCCCCAAUGAUUUCUGAAGGCUGAGCCAUUACAGAACCACCCACCAUCAACGGACCAAGCAGCGUGGGAGAAAGGAGUCAUGGACCUGUGAGGAAAUCCUGGAUGGGGCAGGACCGUGGACAAGGCCGGGAGAAUACCGCCGCCUGCCGGAGGAGAUAGAGGCAGCGAGGGCAGAACGGCGUUUCUGGGAGGAUCGGCUGGCACGGGAAGUGCCAUGCUAGAGUGGGCAUCGAGCCAGGACGGGUUGUGCAGGCCGUGCGCUCCAGACCUCCAGUGCGUCUCCAGGACCCGGUCUAUCCUGUGCCUGCUCCCAGAGCCAGGCCUCCUGCAUGUCUCCCCAGCCUGGUGCGUCCUGUGCCUGCGCCCAGAGCCAGGCCUCCUGCAAGUCUCCCCAGCCUGGUGCGUCCUGUGCCUGCUCCCAGAGCCAGGCCUCCUGCAUGUCUCCCCAGCCUGGUGCGUCCUGUGCCUGCGCCCAGAGCCAGGCCUCCUGCAAGUCUCCCCAGCCUGGUGCGUCCUGUGCCUGCUCCCAGAGCCAGGCCUCCUGCAUGUCUCCCCAGCCUGGUGAGUCCUGUGCCUGCGCCCAGAGCCAGGCCUCCUGCAUGUCUCCCCAGCCUGGUGAGUCCUGUGCCUGCGCCCAGAGCCAGGCCUACUGAAAGGCCCGCCUGUCCGGCGCAGCCAGAGUCGCCCGCCUGUCCGGCGCAGCCAGAGUCGCCCGCCUGUCCGGCGCAGCCAGAGUCGCCCGCCUGUCCGGCGCAGCCAGAGUCGCCCGCCUGUCCGGCGCAGCCAGAGUCGCCCGCCUGUCCGGCGCUGCCGGCGAGGGACCCCGCUCUAGAGGCGCCACCAAAGUGGGGUGAACCAGUGGUGGAGCGGGGUCUGCGUCCCGCUCCUGAGACACCUCCGUAGGGGGGAGGAUUGGGAAGGGGGGUUGUAGCACAAGAACCGUCGUUGACGGUGGCCACCCUCCCUUCCCUCCCUUUUAGUUUGGGGUUGUUUUUGUGUUUUUUUUGUUUUUGUUUGAGGUGCAUUUCGGGGUCUGCAUCUUUGGGGGGGGUGUACUGUCACGUCCUGACCAGUAAAAGGGGUUAUUUGUUAUUGUAGUUUAGUCAGGGCGUGGCAGGGGGUGUUUUUCUGUGUGUUUUGGGGUUACAUUCUAUGUCCUUUUUUGUAUGUUUGGUAUUUCUUUGUUUUUGGCCUGGUAUGGCUCUCAAUCAGGGACAGCUGUACAUCGUUGUCGCUGAUUGGGAGCCAUUCUUAGGUAGCCUGUUUCCCUUUGGGUUUUGUGGGUGGUUUAUUUCUGUUGAGUUAUUUUACCUGACAGAACUGUUUGGCUGUCUUUUGUUUAUUUGUAAAGUGUUCUAAUUUUCCAAUAAAUUACAAAGAUGAGCACUAACCACGCUGCGCC
RNAcentral lists this long non-coding RNA (2833 nucleotides) under Salmo salar (Atlantic salmon). RNAcentral's name for it is "lncRNA (ENSSSAG00000083775.1, ENSSSAG00000099832.1)". The record is from RNAcentral. Lineage: Eukaryota; Metazoa; Chordata; Actinopteri; Salmoniformes; Salmonidae.